Molecule: long non-coding RNA, 537 nt
Filed under: Pan troglodytes (chimpanzee)
Lineage: Eukaryota; Metazoa; Chordata; Mammalia; Primates; Hominidae
Description: long non-coding RNA NONPTRT015388
Source: RNAcentral
UAAGUGCUGGCUGGACAUGGGAGGGCUCUAAUGGGUGAAUAGCUGGGCUGUAGCCUCAUAUGUUGUCGAAACAAAUGGAAACUUCUGAAACCCGAGUUUGAUUUCUAAUUGAUGGAUAGGAAGUUGCCUCUUUUUUAAUAAUAGUUGACUCAUUUAAUAUUUUUUUACUUCAUUAACUCUCCCAUUGUGGCAUCAUUACAAUUUUGGUGGUGUCUCAUAUUUAACAAAUGAAUACAAUCUUGGGGAAAGGUGGACCAAGAAUUCUAGGACUAGAAGUUCCUACAAAUAGUGAGGAAACAUACUUCAAAUUGAGCGUUUAGGAUUUCCUUUUAUGAAAAUGAGAAUGAGUAUACCUUGAAUAUUUUAAUGAAUACGGUUAGCAUAGUUGCUGUAACAGUUAUUUAUUUUGGAUUUGUCCAUUUGUGCUGGUAAAGUAGAACCAUAGCUUUUAUUCAUUUGCUUAAUCCAUUCUCUUCAUGCCAAGAAGAAAUAUUAUGUCCCAAUAAAAUAUGGACAUCUUCAGUGACAAGCGACAAC